AAUACAUUGGUGGCGACCGGCGCACGGGUGAGUAACGCGUAUGCAACCUACCUAUCAGAGGGGAAUAACCCGGCGAAAGUCGGACUAAUACCGCAUAAAACAGGGGUUCCACAUGGAAAUAUUUGUUAAAGAAUUAUCGCUGAUAGAUGGGCAUGCGUUCCAUUAGAUAGUUGGUGAGGUAACGGCUCACCAAGUCCACGAUGGAUAGGGGUUCUGAGAGGAAGGUCCCCCACACUGGUACUGAGACACGGACCAGACUCCUACGGGAGGCAGCAGUGAGGAAUAUUGGUCAAUGGGCGAGAGCCUGAACCAGCCAAGUCGCGUGAAGGAUGAAGGAUCUAUGGUUUGUAAACUUCUUUUAUAUGGGAAUAAAGUGAGGAACGUGUUCCUUUUUGUAUGUACCAUAUGAAUAAGCAUCGGCUAACUCCGUGCCAGCAGCCGCGGUAAUACGGAGGAUGCGAGCGUUAUCCGGAUUUAUUGGGUUUAAAGGGUGCGUAGGUGGUUAAUUAAGUCAGCGGUGAAAGUUUGUGGCUCAACCAUAAAAUUGCCGUUGAAACUGGUUGACUUGAGUAUAUUUGAGGUAGGCGGAAUGCGUGGUGUAGCGGUGAAAUGCAUAGAUAUCACGCAGAACUCCGAUUGCGAAGGCAGCUUACUAAACUAUAACUGACACUGAAGCACGAAAGCGUGGGGAUC
RNAcentral lists this ribosomal RNA (693 nucleotides) under uncultured bacterium. Its description in RNAcentral is "bacterial SSU rRNA". It matches the Rfam family "Bacterial small subunit ribosomal RNA", at positions 79 to 769 of the family's 1533-position model. The record is from RNAcentral.